This is an RNA transcript of Abrus precatorius (Indian licorice), 1631 nucleotides long. It is a transcript of the gene named epimerase family protein SDR39U1 homolog, chloroplastic, with no coding region annotated. The transcript is spliced from 12 exons. The record is from RefSeq and is a predicted model, not a curated record. Lineage: Eukaryota; Viridiplantae; Streptophyta; Magnoliopsida; Fabales; Fabaceae.
GUGGUUGGUGUGGCUCCAAAUCAGACACGAAAUCAUACAAGAAUAAUUCACUAACACACACUUCAUUUUGUUGCUGAGGAGUAAGAUUCUUCACCUUGGCUUUCCUUGCUAACUAAAAAGUACAACACUGCAUUACCAAACUCUGCUAAAUCUUGAUGGAAAUCUGUGGAGCUACAGCUAUGAAAUGGUCUCACACCAUCUUUCCUUCUCUUCACCUUCCUCGGCCCCUCUCAACCAAGGAGGCUAGAAGGUUCAAAGUUUGGUGUGGCACUGAUCAAGGCCCCGAGGGAAAUAAAAUGAUCAUAUCUAUAACUGGAGCAACAGGUUUUAUAGGUAGAAAGUUGGUGCAAAGAUUGCAUGCAGACAGUCAUAGUGUUCAUGUCUUGACGCGCUCUAAAUCUAAAGCUGAAACAAUUUUUCCUGCAAAAGACUUUCCCGGACUCAAGAUUGCAGAGGAACCAGAAUGGAAAGAUAGCAUUCAGGGCUCAACGGGGAUCGUGAAUUUGGCUGGAAUGCCCAUAAGUACCCGAUGGUCUUCUGAGAUAAAGAAGGAAAUCAAGCAGAGCAGAAUAAGAGUGACCUCAAAGCAAAGGUUGUAGAAUUGAUAAACAGUGCACCAGAUGAUAGUCGACCUAAAGUUUUUGUUAGUGCAACAGCUGUGGGUUAUUAUGGUACCAGUGAGACUCAAUCCUUUGAUGAAGAAAGUCCUUCAGGAAAGGAUUACUUGGCUGAGGUUUGUAGAGAAUGGGAAUCCACAGCCCAAAGGGUAAAUAAAGAUGUUAGAGUGGCUUUAAUUCGCAUUGGUGUUGUCCUUGGUAAAGAUGGGGGAGCACUAGCUAAAAUGAUACCUCUCUUCAUGAUGUUUGCUGGUGGACCUCUAGGCUCUGGAAAACAGUGGUUCUCCUGGAUUCAUUUGGAUGACAUUGUCAAUUUAAUAUAUGAAGCGCUAUCAAAUCCAUCUUACAAAGGAGUUAUCAAUGGAACUGCACCAAAUCCUGUACGAUUGUCAGAAUUAUGUGACCAGCUGGGACAUGUCUUGGGUCGUCCCUCAUGGCUACCCGUACCCGACUUUGCCCUCAAAGCUGUUCUUGGUGAAGGUGCUUCUGUGGUAAGGAAUAAUCAUCUCUAGUACGUAACUUUUAGGAUAAAAUCCUUAAAAUGCACUGUUAAUCUUUCUUUGUAGGUUUUAGAAGGACAGAGAGUGGUUCCUGCGCAAUCUAUGAAGUUGGGUUUCCCAUUCAAAUAUUCUUACGUGAAGGAUGCCCUUAAAGCUAUUCUUUCUUGAAGCAAUUUUAGCAUGAGACAGCUACCAUAUUCUUUAUUCUUUUCCGAACAUUAGUAGCAUUCACCUUAUUCAAAUUUAGACUUGGUUGAAUCGUAGUUGUUAUCAUAACGUAAUUAGUAACAAAUGAACACACGCUAUCUCAAUCCCUAUGUUAAUGAUUCAUAAUUCAUGUCGCUGUAAUUAUACUUGCACAAUCAAAAAGUAAGCAGAAAAAGGCAAAACACCACUUUUCCCCUUUUCAUAAAAAACUUCCCAGUCGUGGCUAGCACGUUGUUUACUAUUUCAAAAUUACUACUGCGGAGACGUGCAAAGUUUUUAUAUUGGGCAUUGCAACUCAGGUUGUACA